Non-coding RNA from Myotis brandtii (Brandt's bat), 75 nucleotides. Lineage: Eukaryota; Metazoa; Chordata; Mammalia; Chiroptera; Vespertilionidae. The record is from Rfam.
GAUGGUUCUCAGGUGAUGCACCCCAGAAUCGGCUCCCUCCUCUCUGGUUCCGGGGUGUGUCACCCAAGAACCACG